RNAcentral lists this ribosomal RNA (252 nucleotides) under uncultured bacterium. RNAcentral describes it as "partial 16S ribosomal RNA". It matches the Rfam family "Bacterial small subunit ribosomal RNA", at positions 524 to 776 of the family's 1533-position model. The record is from RNAcentral.
UACAGAGGGUGCAAGCGUUAAUCGGAUUACUGGGCGUAAAGCGUGCGUAGGCGGUUCAUUAAGUCGGUUGUGAAAUCCCUGGGCUUAACCUGGGAACUGCAGUCGAUACUGGUGGACUAGAGUGCGGUAGAGGGUGGCGGAACUCCGGGUGUAGCGGUGAAAUGCGUAGAUAUCCGGAAGAACACCGAUGGCGAAGGCAACCACCUGGGCCUGCACUGACGCUGAGGUACGAAAGCGUGGGGAGCAAACAGG